Molecule: ribosomal RNA, 253 nt
Filed under: uncultured bacterium
Lineage: Bacteria
Description: partial 16S ribosomal RNA
Rfam family: Bacterial small subunit ribosomal RNA
Source: RNAcentral
UACGAAGGGUGCGAGCGUUAUUCGGAAUCAUUGGGCGUAAAGGGUGUGUAGAUGGUAUGCUAAGUCUGUUGUUAAAUGCUCCGGCCUAACCGGAGACCUGCGGUGGAAACUGGUAUGCUAGAGGGUGGAAGAGAGAAGUGGAAUUCUCGGAGUAGCGGUAAAAUGCGUAGAUCUCGAGAGGAACACCAAUGGCGAAGGCAGCUUCUUGGUCCACACCUGACAUUGAAACACGAAAGCGUGGGGAGCAAACAGG